RNA transcript from Abrus precatorius (Indian licorice), 3353 nucleotides. It is a transcript of the gene named prostaglandin reductase-3, with no coding region annotated. NCBI's taxonomy places the organism in Eukaryota, Viridiplantae, Streptophyta, Magnoliopsida, Fabales, Fabaceae. The transcript is spliced from 17 exons. The record is from RefSeq and is a predicted model, not a curated record.
UUUGGAUAUGACGAGUUACAACCAUCUUGUCUCACUCUUGUCAUAAAUCUCAUCGUUUUGGGUCACAACAGCAGCACAUUAGAAGAAGAACGAUAAUGGAGAUCAAACCUGGUUUGUCAGCACUCAUUACGGGUGGUGCCUCUGGAAUCGGCAAAGGUCUUGCCCUGGCCCUUGCAGAGAAGGGUGUAUUUAUUACAAUUGUUGAUUUUGCUGAAGAAAGGGGAAGACAAGUUGCGAGCCUUGUUCAGAAAAUUAACACCAAGUUUCAUUCUAAGUUGGAAUUUCCAUCUGCCAUGUUUGUGAAAUGCGAUGUGACUAAUGCAAGAGAUCUAGCUGCUGCAUUUGAGAAGCACUUUUUGACAUAUGGAGGACUAGACAUUUGUAUUAACAGUGCUGGGAUUGGUAAUCCUAUACCAUUGCAUAAGGAUCAAACGGAUGGCACUCAUUCAUGGAGACACACUGUUAAUGUGAAUUUGACUUCCGUUAUAGAUAGCACUCGCCUUGCGAUUAAAACCAUGGAAGCUGCCAAAAGGCCUGGUGUGAUUAUCAACAUGGGUUCUGCUUCUGGUCUUUAUCCAAUGGUUGCUGAUCCAAUCUACAGUGGCUCUAAAGGUGGUGUCGUUAUGUUUUCUAGAGCACUUCGUCUAUACAAACGUCAAGGAAUUCGAGUCAACGUGCUUUGCCCUGAGUUUGUUGAAACUGACAUGGGCUUAAUGAUGGAAUCCAAUUUCAUCAAGUUGGUAGGGGGCUUUGUACCUAUGGAAAUGGUGGUUAAAGGUGCUUUCGAGCUCAUUAUGGAUGAAAGCAAAGCUGGCCAUUGCCUAUGGAUUACAAAUCGUCGGGGUAUGGAGUACUGGCCUACCCCAUCUGAAGAAGCAAAGUUCUUGAUACGUUCCUCUCGUUUCAGGAAAAGAUCCGAUUUCCAAGCUCCUUCAAUUAAACUUCCUGAGAGUUUUGAGAAAAUAGUUGUUAAGACCUUGACUCACAACUUUCGGAAUGCUACCAGCAUAGUGAGAGCUCCACUGAGAUUACCUGUCAAACCAAAUCAUGUUCUUGUUAAGAUAAUUUAUGCUGGUGUGAAUGCUAGUGAUGUAAAUUUUAGCUCAGGCCGCUAUUUUGGUGGCAACAACAAUGAUACUGCUUCUCGUCUUCCAUUUGAUGCUGGAUUUGAGGCCGUAGGAAUAAUUGCAGCAGUUGGGGAUUCUGUCACUGACUUGAAAAUUGGCAUGCCUUGUGCAGUCAUGACUUUUGGAGGCUAUGCUGAAUUCACAAUGAUUCCUUCAAAACAUGCACUUCCAGUGCCUAGACCAGAUCCCGAAGUUGUUGCCAUGCUUACAUCAGGAUUAACUGCCUCAAUCUCUCUAGAAAAGGCAGGACAGAUGGAAUCAGGAAAAGUGGUCCUUGUUACUGCUGCUGCCGGAGGAACUGGGCAAUUUGCUGUUCAGCUAGCAAAAUUAGCAGGAAAUACCGUGGUUGCAACUUGUGGAGGUCCGGCAAAGGCCAAGCUUUUGAAAGAGCUGGGAGUUGACAGAGUCAUAGAUUAUCAUAGUGAAGAUAUAAAAACGGUUUUAAGGAAAGAAUUCCCAAAAGGGAUUGACAUCAUCUAUGAGUCUGUCGGUGGUGACAUGUUAAACUUGUGCUUGAAUGCUUUGGCAGUCCAUGGACGACUCAUUGUUAUUGGCAUGAUUUCUCAGGUUUUUCUUUAUUUAAUUUAUCUUCUCAUGCUACUUAUUUUUGUCCUCCUCAGCACUUGUGAAAGUUUCACUGCAUCUAUAGUAUACUGCACAACUAUCCUUCUAUUGAAGCGAUAGUACCAACUCAUUUAGUGAGUAUAAAUUCAUGUAAUACCUUGGAUUUUAUCCUCAUUUAAGUAUGUACAGAGGAAAUUAUUAGACUUUAGUUAUUGUAGUAUUUGUUGAGAUGUCCUACAUUAGUUAGAAAUAGAGUCAGAAUACUUUUUAUAUGAGUUAAGGCAGUCCUCCUCUUAAAAGCGAGCCUUUGGGAGUGAGUUAGGCCUAAGUUUCUUAACAUAGUAUUAGAGCCAAUUCAUGUUGAACAUUCGGUUGUCCACAUACGUCCAAUCCUGUUGGAUCCAUCCCUACAAGUUUCACACACCAGAUGUCCAGCUCUAAGCGUGAGGGAGGUUGGGCUGCCCACUGCAAAUUUCACGCUACAGAUGUGAGGAGUGUGUAUUGAGAUGUCCCACAUUGGUUAGAAAUAGAGAGAGAAUACUCCUUACAAGAGCUAAGACAGUACUCCUCUUAUGAGUUAGCUUUUAGGAGUGAGUUAAGCCUAAGUUUCUUAACAGUAUCAUUCACUAUCAAACCCACAAGUUAUAUGGAACAUGGAAUUCUGUGACCCAUCUCAGAUAUCUGGAUUGAAAUUUGGAUUUUAGCUAGCUAUACUAUUGCAAUAUAGAUUUUCUUUCUUUCCUUUUUUAUUGUUAGACUUUCUAUUCCAUUUAUCUGUUAAGUUUAUCAUAAGAGUGUACUAUGAAGCUAUUACCCGGUGUGAAGAGUAGUGUGCUGGAUUAUAAAUUGCAGUAAGCUGUUUCUGUCCUCUUAAAGAAAUAUAUUGUCAAUGAACAUAAUUGAUUCAUAUUUGUUGUUUUUAUUCAUACCAGUAUCAAGGAGAUAAGGGUUGGACGCCAUCAAACUAUCCUGGACUAUGUGAGAAGCUCUUAGCGAAGAGCCAAACUGUGGCUGGCUUUUUCCUAGUGCAAUAUAGUCACAUGUGGCAAGAACAUCUUGACAGGCUAUUUAAUCUUCACUCAAUGGGAAAGCUGAAGGUUGCUCUUGAUCCAAAGAGAUUUAUAGGCCUGCAUUCUGUUGCAGACGCUGUUGAGUAUCUCCAUUCAGGCAAAAGUGUUGGAAAGGUUGUUGUCUCCGUGGACCCAACCUUCCUUCAUCCAGUGGCCAAAUUGUGAGUCAAGACAUGUCAAAUGACCUCACACAAACGACAUUCCAUCCUUUUCAAAAUAAAAGAGAGGUUAAGCUUGCAGCUCUUAUCCAGAUAUUGUUGUUGAAUGCUUCUGAAAUUGGUUGCAUCAGUAACAUUCUCAAUGCUUAUACGAUUUAGUGUUUAAAAUGGGUAAUGACCAGUAAACAAUUGUCUAUUUUGACUAGUGGUGAAAACUGGCCACUAUGUCCUUUAUUUGCUUCAUUGUUACUUCAAAAGUUGAAACUGUUGUUCAAAUGAUUGCUAACUUGGCUCUAAAGUGUAAACUUGCCUUCAACCUGGCCCCAAGGUAUGUGUUUUAUGAAACAUGAUCUUUGGCUAUACAACAAACUUGUCUGUUACAAAGACAGGAAACAAGUUGCCAAAUAAUAAUAAUAAUAUUUUUUUAAACUUAU